GUGAAGAAUCAUUCGCAAUGGGCGAAAGCCUGACGAUGCAACGCCGCGUGGAGGAUGAAGGCCUUCGGGUUGUAAACUCCUGUUACGCUGUACGAAUUUCCCUGGGUCAAAUAGCCUCGGGGAAUGACACAAAAGCGAGAGAAAGUCACGGCUAACUUCGUGCCAGCAGCCGCGGUAAGACGAAGGUGGCAAGCGUUGUUCGGAAUUACUGGGCGUAAAGAGUUCGUAGGCGGCUUUGUAAGUCAGGUGUGAAAUCCCCCGGCUCAACCGGGGAAUUGCGCCUGAUACUGCUUAGCUUGAGGGCAGAAGGGGAGAGCGGAAUUCCUGGUGUAGCGGUGAAAUGCGUAGAUAUCAGGAGGAACGCCGGUGGCGAAAGCGGCUCUCUGGUCUGCCUCUGACGCUGAGGAACGAAAGCUAGGGGAGCAAACGGGAUUAGAAACCCGUGUAGUCC
RNAcentral lists this ribosomal RNA (451 nucleotides) under uncultured bacterium. Its description in RNAcentral is "bacterial SSU rRNA". It matches the Rfam family "Bacterial small subunit ribosomal RNA", at positions 354 to 796 of the family's 1533-position model. The record is from RNAcentral.